CACCGCGGUUAUACGAAUGACUCACAUUAACAUAUCCCGGCGUAAAGAGUGAUUAAAGGAUAGACUUCAACUCAACUAAAGUUUAGAUUUUAUAAGGCUGUUAUAUGCAUUUAUAAAUAGAAUUCUCAUUAACGAAAGUAACUUUAAUUAAUAAGACCCCUUGACGUCACGACAGUUGGACCCCAAACUAGGAUUAGAUACCCCACU
This 207-nucleotide ribosomal RNA is filed under the name Leptocharias smithii. RNAcentral describes it as "partial small subunit ribosomal RNA". The record is from RNAcentral. Lineage: Eukaryota; Metazoa; Chordata; Chondrichthyes; Carcharhiniformes; Leptochariidae.